AGAGUUUGAUCCUGGCUCAGGAUGAACGCUAGCUACAGGCUUAACACAUGCAAGUCGAGGGGCAUCAGGAAGAAAGCUUGCUUUCUUUGCUGGCGACCGGCGCACGGGUGAGUAACACGUAUCCAACCUGCCCUUUACUCGGGGAUAGCCUUUCGAAAGAAAGAUUAAUACCCGAUAGUAUAAUCAUUCCGCAUGGUCUGAUUAUUAAAGGAUUCCGGUAAAGGAUGGGGAUGCGUUCCAUUAGGUUGUUGGUGAGGUAACGGCUCACCAAGCCUUCGAUGGAUAGGGGUUCUGAGAGGAAGGUCCCCCACAUUGGAACUGAGACACGGUCCAAACUCCUACGGGAGGCAGCAGUGAGGAAUAUUGGUCAAUGGGCGCGAGCCUGAACCAGCCAAGUAGCGUGAAGGAUGACUGCCCUAUGGGUUGUAAACUUCUUUUAUAUUAGAAUAAAGUGCAGUAUGUAUACUGUUUUGUAUGUAUAAUAUGAAUAAGGAUCGGCUAACUCCGUGCCAGCAGCCGCGGUAAUACGGAGGAUCCGAGCGUUAUCCGGAUUUAUUGGGUUUAAAGGGAGCGUAGGUGGACUGGUAAGUCAGUUGUGAAAGUUUGCGGCUCAACCGUAAAAUUGCAGUUGAUACUGUCAGUCUUGAGUACAGUAGAGGUGGGCGGAAUUCGUGGUGUAGCGGUGAAAUGCUUAGAUAUCACGAAGAACUCCGAUUGCGAAGGCAGCUCACUGGACUGCAACUGACACUGAUGCUCGAAAGUGUGGGUAUCAAACAGGAUUAGAUACCCUGGUAGUCCACACAGUAAACGAUGAAUACUCGCUGUUUGCGAUAUACAGUAAGCGGCCAAGCGAAAGCAUUAAGUAUUCCACCUGGGGAGUACGCCGGCAACGGUGAAACUCAAAGGAAUUGACGGGGGCCCGCACAAGCGGAGGAACAUGUGGUUUAAUUCGAUGAUACGCGAGGAACCUUACCCGGGCUUAAAUUGCAGUGGAAUGAUGUGGAAACAUGUCAGUGAGCAAUCA
RNAcentral lists this ribosomal RNA (1024 nucleotides) under Bacteroides fragilis HMW 616. RNAcentral's name for it is "bacterial SSU rRNA". It matches the Rfam family "Bacterial small subunit ribosomal RNA", at positions 8 to 1025 of the family's 1533-position model. Lineage: Bacteria; Pseudomonadati; Bacteroidota; Bacteroidia; Bacteroidales; Bacteroidaceae. The record is from RNAcentral.